AAAAAAAAAAAAAAAAAAAAAAAUUGUAUCCGUCUUCUAGAGUCAGACAAACGACGCACAGAGGAAUCCAUCCAUUCAACCCAAGUCAUCAAUCCUUAUGGAGACUUUUAGUUAAAGACUAACUACUAGCUUAAGAGAACUUUUUUACCUGACAACGGCUUAACCCUGUUAACUGCACGUGCCAGUCAUAGGUGCUGCUCUGAUACCAUUUGUUUAACCGAACUCGGUCAGAUCAGCCACACUCUGGUCUGGUGCAGCCUCGGGCUUUCAUUGAGAUGCUGCUGAGGAGGUGUUGAUCACGUGCUGCUGGUGGGUGUGAAAACCGAAAUUCCCAAAGAGACUCAUGGCAUCAUUUAUCGCGUAAGUCACACAGUAGUGCUCCUGCAUCAUGUGCCACUCUUCAAACUCGUCAAAUAAUUCCAGUCGUUCAAUCCUGUGCCUUUCUUGAGCUUCAAUAAAAUCACUAUAAACUCUCAGCAUGUCCCAAGCAACAGCCCUCUGCCAUCCCUGAUCAAGAAAAAGUUUUUCCUUUGCAAGCAAAGUUGGUGUAGCAUAAAUCCCCAAUAGUGCACAGCCACGACUCUCCAAAUUCUUUAUCAUUUGCUGCCCAAAAGCAUCUUCAGGGAGGAUCUGCUCGUAUAAGAAAAAA
RNAcentral lists this unclassified non-coding RNA (649 nucleotides) under Hevea brasiliensis (rubber tree). Lineage: Eukaryota; Viridiplantae; Streptophyta; Magnoliopsida; Malpighiales; Euphorbiaceae. The record is from RNAcentral.